This 284-nucleotide unclassified non-coding RNA is filed under the name Hevea brasiliensis (rubber tree). Lineage: Eukaryota; Viridiplantae; Streptophyta; Magnoliopsida; Malpighiales; Euphorbiaceae. The record is from RNAcentral.
UGGGGAGCUCAGCUCACCCUUCACUUACUCAUAAUGUCAUAAAAUCAAAUGGGAGCUUAGCUCCCUCAUACAAUCUAAUCAUACAUGCAUCUAAUAAUUUUACAGAUCCAACACGACAUUAUAUUACAAACCUAAUUCAAAUAAAACAUCACAGACAUUAAUAGAUGACCUGCGAGGGAGAGAGGCAGGUUAGAACUCAAUAAGAAAUCUUCUAUAUCACACCCAAUAAUACUUAAACAGUGCAUAUAUGAGAGUCAAUCCCCCUAUACAGCUCUCUUAAUCCA